UACGGAGGGUGCGAGCGUUGUCCGGAAUCACUGGGCGUAAAGGGCGCGUAGGCGGCGCGGGAAGUCAUCGGUGAAAGUUCAGGGCUCAACUCUGAAUUGGCCGGUGAUACUCUCGUGCUCGAGCACUGUAGAGGCAGGUGGAAUUCCGGGUGUAGCGGUGGAAUGCGUAGAGAUCCGGAAGAACACCGGUGGCGAAGGCGGCCUGCUGGGCAGUAGCUGACGCUGAUGCGCGACAGCGUGGGGAGCAAACAGG
This 253-nucleotide ribosomal RNA is filed under the name uncultured bacterium. Its description in RNAcentral is "partial 16S ribosomal RNA". It matches the Rfam family "Bacterial small subunit ribosomal RNA", at positions 524 to 776 of the family's 1533-position model. The record is from RNAcentral.